This 485-nucleotide ribosomal RNA is filed under the name uncultured bacterium. RNAcentral describes it as "bacterial SSU rRNA". It matches the Rfam family "Bacterial small subunit ribosomal RNA", at positions 28 to 509 of the family's 1533-position model. The record is from RNAcentral.
GACGAACGCUGGCGGCGUGCUUAACACAUGCAAGUCGAGCGGUAAGGCCCUUUCGGGGGUACACGAGCGGCGAACGGGUGAGUAACACGUGGGUGACCUGCCCUCAGCUCUGGGAUAAGCCUGGGAAACCGGGUCUAAUACCGGAUAUGACUCCAUGACGCAUGUUGUGGGGUGGAAAGCCUUGUGCGGCUGAGGAUGGGCCCGCGGCCUAUCAGCUUGUUGGUGGGGUGAUGGCCUACCAAGGCGACGACGGGUAGCCGGCCUGAGAGGGCGACCGGCCACACUGGGACUGACACACGGGCCAGACUCCUACGGGAGGCAGCAGUGGGGAAUUUUGGGCAAUGGGCGAAAGCCUGACCCAGCAACGCCGCGUGAGGGAGGAAAUCCUUCGGGAUGUAAACCUCACAAGCAAGGGAAGAGAGCUCAGGGCCGAACAAGCUUUGAGUCCGACGGUACCUUGCGUAAGCCACGGCUAACUACGUGCC